CCUGGAGGAAGGUGGGGAUGACGUCAAAUCAUCAUGCCCCUUAUGCUUAGGGCUACACACGUGCUACAAUGGGUAGUACAGAGGGUUGCCAAGCCGUAAGGUGGAGCUAAUCCCUUAAAGCUACUCUCAGUUCGGAUUGUAGGCUGAAACUCGCCUACAUGAAGCUGGAGUUACUAGUAAUCGCAGAUCAGAAUGCUGCGGUGAAUGCGUUCCCGGGUCUUGUACACACCGCCCGUCACACCACGGGAGUUGGAGACGCCCGAAGCCGAUUAUCUAACCUUGUGGAAGAAGUCGUCGAAGGUGGAAUUAAUAACUGGGGUGAAGUCGUAACAAGGUAGCCGUAUCGGAAGGUGCGGCUGGAUCACCUCCUUUCUAAGGAGA
Molecule: ribosomal RNA, 381 nt
Filed under: Clostridioides difficile
Lineage: Bacteria; Bacillati; Bacillota; Clostridia; Peptostreptococcales; Peptostreptococcaceae
Description: bacterial SSU rRNA
Rfam family: Bacterial small subunit ribosomal RNA
Source: RNAcentral